GAUGAACGCUGGCGGCGUGCCUAAUACAUGCAAGUCGAGCGAACGGACGAGAAGCUUGCUUUUCUGAUGUUAGCGGCGGACGGGUGAGUAACACGUGGAUAACCUACCUAUAAGACUGGGAUAACUUCGGGAAACCGGAGCUAAUACCGGAUAAUAUUUUGAACCGCAUGGUUCACAAGUGAAAGACGGUCUUGCUGUCACUUCUAGAUGGAUCCGCGCUGCAUUAGCUAGUUGGUAAGGUAACGGCUUACCAAGGCAACGAUGCAUAGCCGACCUGAGAGGGUGAUCGGCCACACUGGAACUGAGACACGGUCCAGACUCCUACGGGAGGCAGCAGUAGGGAAUCUUCCGCAAUGGGCGAAAGCCUGACGGAGCAACGCCGCGUGAGUGAUGAAGGUCUUCGGAUCGUAAAACUCUGUUAUUAGGGAAGAACAUAUGUGUAAGUAACUGUGCACAUCUUGACGGUACCUAAUCAGAAAGCCACGGCUAACUACGUG
This 497-nucleotide ribosomal RNA is filed under the name uncultured bacterium. Its description in RNAcentral is "partial 16S ribosomal RNA". It matches the Rfam family "Bacterial small subunit ribosomal RNA", at positions 28 to 507 of the family's 1533-position model. The record is from RNAcentral.